UCUCUUAUAGUACAACGGAAAAGUACACAUGGAAGUUGGCUCGUAACCCCAGCCAGCACUUUCCAUGAAAUCCGGGUUCGAAUCCCGGUAAGAGAC
Pluteus cervinus is the source of this 96-nucleotide non-coding RNA. The record is from the annotation of a GenBank genome assembly. NCBI's taxonomy places the organism in Eukaryota, Fungi, Basidiomycota, Agaricomycetes, Agaricales, Pluteaceae.